RNAcentral lists this long non-coding RNA (537 nucleotides) under Homo sapiens (human). RNAcentral describes it as "HSALNT0292931". The record is from RNAcentral. Lineage: Eukaryota; Metazoa; Chordata; Mammalia; Primates; Hominidae.
GGGAUCUAUAUUACAAUGCAGAAUUGAAAAAGAUUCCUGGCUAGCCAUUGUUGUUUCAGCUUUUUUAAGUCAGUAGUAGCAAAUUUAGACUACUGACUUAUACAUUUUCAGUGUUGGUUUUCUACAAUGACAAAUUGUCUUUUCCCCUUUGGGGCUCUUUCCGCACUGCUGAAAGACCCCAGGAUAACAGUGCCUAUCAAGGUUGGUGGAUCAGAAGCUCUAACUUCAGCAGCUCUCAGCGGUUCUCAUAAUCUCAGCUGAAACCUCACAUCCAGAGACAGGACCCCAGGUUCCAGAAGCAGACAGAGAGAUAAAUAGAAGAGCAGAAGAAUGGCAGAAUGGCUCGGCAGAGAAGGACAGAAGAAAAGGAGCAUCUGAAUGCUGAGAGAAGUUCCCCUGGGGACGAUCAGAGAGGAGAUCGGCCGCUGGACAGCCAACUCCAGGGGAAGAUCAUCCUCCCACUCUAUCCCCCUUCCAGCUCCCUAUCUAUCCCGCUAAGAGCCACCUCCACCACUCAAUAAAACCCCCACAUUCAUC